GGACUCAAUUGAGGCAUAAAAGAAUGCCACAGAGGCAACCUGAGUUUGACAAACUCAAAUUAUACUUUUAACUAAUUC
Molecule: transfer RNA, 78 nt
Filed under: Lamprotula gottschei
Lineage: Eukaryota; Metazoa; Mollusca; Bivalvia; Unionida; Unionidae
Description: tRNA-Asp
Source: RNAcentral